AUUGCGCAUGCGCGCGCCCGGGCGGCGCGGGAUCUGGGUCUGGGGAUGUGGUACCGGCUGCUGGCGGCGGCCGGCAGUAGAGCGGUGGCCAGGCCGCUGGCCUUGCUGUGGCGAUGUGGUGGCCCAGGAGGCGGCAGGACGGCCAAGACCAGCGCGAGGGCCCUGGGCAAGGCCCGACAGUGGUUAUGGCCAGUGAGAAUGUGCGGUGUUGCAUUGCAGAAGAAGCUAGGAAAGCUCAUCUGGCCUCCUGUUCCAGUGCUUCCAGGGGAUCCACGUUCAGAAGCUGACUCUGCAGGCAAGACCGACGUUAUUUUCCUGGUGGCUGUGUUCAAAACCACCCAAAGGGUUUGAGAAAUACUUUAAGAGGAGUGGAAGGAACACAAACUGAGAAACAUCAACAGCACCAAAAAAAGCUGUUGGAGUAGCACUGUAUUUGUGAAGUGGACAGUGUCAUGGCUUACUUGUUCUGGAACUUGUCCUGGAACAUUACAGGAAGAGGCUGGUAGGUCCGUGGGACACAAAUAUACGUAGGAGGCCAGAUUUUUUGGAGGAGAGGCAGACUCUGCUUA
Molecule: long non-coding RNA, 569 nt
Organism: Homo sapiens (human)
Lineage: Eukaryota; Metazoa; Chordata; Mammalia; Primates; Hominidae
Gene: AFG3L1P
Product: AFG3 like matrix AAA peptidase subunit 1, pseudogene
Source: Ensembl